Molecule: ribosomal RNA, 567 nt
Filed under: uncultured bacterium
Lineage: Bacteria
Description: partial 16S ribosomal RNA
Rfam family: Bacterial small subunit ribosomal RNA
Source: RNAcentral
UGGGAAUUUGGACAAUGGGCGAAAGCCUGAUCCAGCAAUGCCGCGUGUGUGAAGAAGGCCUUCGGGUUGUAAAGCACUUUUGUCCGGAAAGAAAUCCUUGGCUCUAAUACAGUCGGGGGAUGACGGUACCGGAAGAAUAAGCACCGGCUAACUACGUGCCAGCAGCCGCGUAAUACGUAGGGUGCAAGCGUUAAUCGGAAUUACUGGGCGUAAAGCGUGCGCAGGCGGUUUGCUAAGACCGAUGUGAAAUCCCCGGGCUCAACCUGGGAACUGCAUUGGUGACUGGCAGGCUAGAGUAUGGCAGAGGGGGGUAGAAUUCCACGUGUAGCAGUGAAAUGCGUAGAGAUGUGGAGGAAUACCGAUGGCGAAGGCAGCCCCCUGGGCCAAUACUGACGCUCAUGCACGAAAGCGUGGGGAGCAAAACAGGAUUAGAUACCCCUGGUAGUCCACGCCCCUAAAACGAUGUCAACUAGUUGUUGGGGAUUCAUUUCCUUAGUAACGUAGCUAACGCGUGAAGUUGACCGCCUGGGGAGUACGGUCGCAAGAUUAAAACUCAAAUGAAUUGAC